UACGGGGGGAGCAAGCGUUGUCCGGAAUCAUUGGGCGUAAAGAGCGUGUAGGCGGUCCGGUAAGUCGGCUGUGAAAGUCCAGGGCUCAACCCUGGGAUGCCGGUCGAUACUGCCGGACUAGAGUUCGGAAGAGGCGAGUGGAAUUCCCGGUGUAGCGGUGAAAUGCGCAGAUAUCAGGAAGAACACCCGUGGCGAAGGCGGCUCUCUGGGACGGUACUGACGCUGAGACGCGAAAGCGUGGGGAGCGAACAGG
Molecule: ribosomal RNA, 253 nt
Filed under: uncultured bacterium
Lineage: Bacteria
Description: partial 16S ribosomal RNA
Rfam family: Bacterial small subunit ribosomal RNA
Source: RNAcentral